GACGUAGGGCGCGAGCGUUGUCCGGAUUUAUUGGGCGUAAAGAGCUCGUAGGCGGCUCAUCGCGUCAACCGUGAAAACCAGCAGCUCAACUGUUGGCUUGCGGUUGAUACGGGUGGGCUGGAGUUCGGUAGGGGAGACUGGAAUUCCUGGUGUAGCGGUGAAAUGCGCAGAUAUCAGGAGGAACACCCGUGGCGAAGGCGGCCACCUGGGCCGACCCUGACGCUGAGGCGCGAAGGCGUGGGGAGCGAACGGG
RNAcentral lists this ribosomal RNA (253 nucleotides) under uncultured bacterium. Its description in RNAcentral is "partial 16S ribosomal RNA". It matches the Rfam family "Bacterial small subunit ribosomal RNA", at positions 524 to 776 of the family's 1533-position model. The record is from RNAcentral.